This 499-nucleotide ribosomal RNA is filed under the name uncultured marine eukaryote. RNAcentral's name for it is "partial 18S ribosomal RNA". It matches the Rfam family "Eukaryotic small subunit ribosomal RNA", at positions 618 to 1126 of the family's 1831-position model. The record is from RNAcentral.
GUUAAAAAGCUCGUAGUUGGACUUCUGGUUUGGGGUGGUGGUCCGCCUAACGGUGUGCACUGUUGCCUUGAGCCUUCUUCCUGUAGUCCGUUUGUGCACUUAAUUGUGUGCUCUUGGAAUAUGGGACCUUUACUUUGAAAAAAUUAGAGUGUUCAAAGCAGGCCUUCGCUUGAAUACAUUAGCAUGGAAUAAUAGAAUAGGACUUUGGUUCUAUUUUGUUGGUUUCUAGGACCGAAGUAAUGAUUAAUAGGGACGGUUGGGGGCAUUAGUAUUUAAUUGUCAGAGGUGAGAUUCUUGGAUUUAUGAAAGACUAACUACUGCGAAAGCAUUUGCCAAGGAUGUUUUCAUUAAUCAAGAACGAAAGUUAGGGGAUCGAAGACGAUCAGAUACCGUCGUAGUCUUAACCAUAAGCUAUGCCGACUUGGGAUCAGGGGGGGUUGAUUUUAGCCCUCUUGGCACCAUAUGAAGAAUCAAAGUUUUUGGGUUCUGGGGGGAAUAU